This 253-nucleotide ribosomal RNA is filed under the name uncultured bacterium. Its description in RNAcentral is "partial 16S ribosomal RNA". It matches the Rfam family "Bacterial small subunit ribosomal RNA", at positions 524 to 776 of the family's 1533-position model. The record is from RNAcentral.
UACGUAGGGGGCAAGCGUUGUCCGGAUUUAUUGGGCGUAAAGAGCGUGUAGGCGGCCGCACAGGUCCGUUGUGAAAACUGGAGGCUUAACCUCCAGACGUCGAUGGAAACCGUGCGGCUAGAGUCCGGAAGAGGAGAAUGGAAUUCCUGGUGUAGCGGUGAAAUGCGCAGAUAUCAGGAGGAACACCGGUGGCGAAGGCGGUUCUCUGGGCAUUACCUGACGCUGAGGAGCGAAAGUGUGGGGAGCGAACAGG